Molecule: non-coding RNA, 166 nt
Filed under: uncultured Alistipes sp.
Lineage: Bacteria; Pseudomonadati; Bacteroidota; Bacteroidia; Bacteroidales; Rikenellaceae
Source: RNAcentral
CGGUCUGCCGGACGGGAUGAAAAGGGAACCCGGUGAAAAUCCGGGACAGUACUCGCUGCUGUAAGUCCCCUCCUUCGGGAGAAGUCGUUUAUCGCUCUCUUUGCCACUGGGUUAUACCGGGAAGGCGUGAUAAACGGGACAAGUCAGAAGACCUGCCAUAGCAGAU